This 72-nucleotide transfer RNA is filed under the name Streptomyces phage Stella. It matches the Rfam family "tRNA". Rfam says of the family: Transfer RNA (tRNA) molecules are approximately 80 nucleotides in length. Their secondary structure includes four short double-helical elements and three loops (D, anti-codon, and T loops). Further hydrogen bonds mediate the characteristic L-shaped molecular structure. tRNAs have two regions of fundamental functional importance: the anti-codon, which is responsible for specific mRNA codon recognition, and the 3' end, to which the tRNAs corresponding amino acid is attached (by aminoacyl-tRNA synthetases). tRNAs cope with the degeneracy of the genetic code in two manners: having more than one tRNA (with a specific anti-codon) for a particular amino acid; and 'wobble' base-pairing, i.e. permitting non-standard base-pairing at the 3rd anti-codon position. The record is from Rfam by way of RNAcentral. Lineage: Duplodnaviria; Heunggongvirae; Uroviricota; Caudoviricetes.
UGGGAUGUAGCACAACGGUUAGUGCGUCCGUCUGAUACGCGGAUGACCACGGUUCGACUCCGUGCUUCCCUA